This 807-nucleotide long non-coding RNA is filed under the name Pogona vitticeps (central bearded dragon). Its description in RNAcentral is "lncRNA (ENSPVIG00000006622.1)". The record is from RNAcentral. Lineage: Eukaryota; Metazoa; Chordata; Lepidosauria; Squamata; Agamidae.
GAGGAGACUUUCCAAUGGGGACUGGCAGUCCUUCAAGUGGAGAUUUUGGCCAUAGAAAGUAGGACACCCUCCAUAAGUUGCAAAUUCACCACACAUAUAUAAUGAGCAGGAAGCCUGGGUUUCAUCGGUAUUCAUCCUUGUUUUGUCUCAGAGCAGUUUUUCUUCAACCGGCUUGAGUUCUCAGAGAAAAAGAUUAUUUCGGGAUGCUUCUCCUGCUCUUUGUUCUGGAUUUCCUGCUCUUCCACCAGGCCACUGCACGACAUGUUAAGCGUGAUGAAAUCCAGAGGAAGUGUGAGGAAGCUGGAGGUUACUGCGGAGACUUAGAAUGCCCUCCAAUGGACAAAACUCUUUUCUAUUGCUACAAACGAACAGCUUGCUGUCUAAGAAACGGAAAUGUUGGACAGCAACCUUCAGAACUCCUCUUUUUCCGGACACAUGAGGAAUGUGAAGAACUGGGUGGGCUCUGCUACAUAAAUCUGAAGUGGACACCCGAAUGUUGGGGUCCUCGUUAUAUAAUGCUAGGGACUUGUUUCCCGAGGCAUGUAUGCUGCAAAAGGCCAUACUGAUGGGAGAGCAUCUCACACAAUCACCUGAAGAUGUGCCGGUGGAAUCAUCACCUCCUGCUCAGCAAGCUCACUGUUAUUACCUUCCCACCCACUAAAGAAGAGCCUAAGAGACUUUGCUCUGAAUUCCAUAAAAUUGUUUUUCUUAGCAAAUAUAACAUCCUUGUGUCAAUGAAACGGUCUCUUUCUUUGUCUGAAAGAUACAGGAGGAGGUAUGCUUACUUUUAUCCAAGGCUGUGCAGAA